UAUCAGCUUUCACCAAGGGGAAGGACCAGGGCGCAAUUUAAGUGGAACUUAGUGUUUGUUUUCUUUCCUGCUACAAUCUUCAUUGUCGAACUUCUGGUCACAAGUCUAUUCAUGGCAGAAAGUAUAGAUUAUGACACAAUAGAACUACUGCUUCUCAUUAUUAUCAUCAGUUGGACUAUCUUGUUGCUGAGUUUGUUAGUCUACUGCCUAAAACUGUGUUCUUCCCUUUUGUUUUCAUAGAAGACCAAGUCCUCCUAGCUUUCACUAAAGAGAAUGUGACCACUUUGAAAACUCCAAGCAUAGGCAACGUUGGAUGGAAUCUUUCCAAAAGGCAAAGCACAUAGGAAAACAACUAUGGACUCUAAAUUAAAAGAACUAACCACGAAACUGUAA
Molecule: long non-coding RNA, 393 nt
Organism: Canis lupus familiaris (dog)
Lineage: Eukaryota; Metazoa; Chordata; Mammalia; Carnivora; Canidae
Exons: 2
Source: RefSeq, a predicted model, not a curated record